CAGUCGCCACGGUAAUACGAAGGGUGCAAGCGUUACUCGGAAUUACUGGGCGUAAAGCGUGCGUAGGUGGUGGUUUAAGUCCGUUGUGAAAGCCCUGGGCUCAACCUGGGAAUUGCAGUGGAUACUGGAUCACUAGAGUGUGUCAGAGGAUGGUGGAAUUCCCGGUGUAGCGGUGAAAUGCGUAGAGAUCGGGAGGAACAUCAGUGGCGAAGGCGGCCAUCUGGGACAACACUGACGCUGAGGCACGAAAGCGUGGGGAGCAAACAGGAUUAGAUACCCCUGUAGUCCCUGUCUCUUAUAA
This 301-nucleotide ribosomal RNA is filed under the name uncultured bacterium. RNAcentral describes it as "partial 16S ribosomal RNA". It matches the Rfam family "Bacterial small subunit ribosomal RNA", at positions 509 to 809 of the family's 1533-position model. The record is from RNAcentral.